AGAACACUCAUUAACUUUAUAAUAUUACAAUAACGUUAUCUGGGUUUGUGAACAAACGUAACAUGUGUGGCUGCAAAUCGUUUUGGACAUUUGUGACUCUUGUUAUUAUGAAAUAAUUGGGAUGAUAUACAGAGAAGUAUGUGUUCGUCCUGCUCCUUUCUCGAUUACCAUAUUUGCUAAGGACAUUGGAGACACUUUCAGAAUUCUACUUCAUGGUGGCAGCGGUGCAGCUAUACAAUUGUUCGUACAUUUGACACAAAUAUAUUCGCGUGUGUCACAGCUAUGUAAACUCGAAACAUUAGGGGUGUUAUGUUGUGCAGGUAAUCCUAACCAUGGGCUCGGUAGGUCGGGGAAUUGUUGCUACGCGUGGACAUCUAUCUUGUUUUUUCUUGCAUACCUGGGACUAUUCAUAACAGAUUUGGUCCUUAUGUGUACUUAAUCAAAAUGAGUUUUAAUCAGUGUCAAGGUUCAGCUGAAGUAAUGAGCCAUAGUGGUUAAAAUAUACGUAGCGGACAUAAUUAAUCAUUAUUGUACAGUAAUAUGACAUAUGAUAAAGGUUUAAACUGAUGUGUCAAGUGUUCGCGUUAUUUGAUUGUACUUCUCUGAUGAACUUAUUUCUUCAUGUUCUAUUUGGAAAUUGUGGUAAUUGGAUUUGCAUUAUCGUUUGUAAUAGCCAUUGUUAAUAAAACUGGAUAUUCGUAUUAUUUAAAAAGAUGUAUAUAUAUAUGCUGUUUGGCAUUUCAUUAUUUAAGUGAUUGUGGAAUACUUUAUAUUUAUGUACUUUUUUUGUAAACUAUCAUGUUUUUUUUAUUUAUUCGACCAAUAAUGUAAUUUUAUGCCCUCGAUAUGUUUUAUAACACAUUUAGUUUGUUUGUAAUGGUUGAGGCAAUGGAAUUGUUUGUGCUAAAACUGAUGUUCGUUUUGAAUUUGUUUUUUCUUGCUUUCAAUUUUGCGGUGAAAUAAAAACAUGAAAAUAUUA
Mya arenaria is the source of this 979-nucleotide long non-coding RNA. RefSeq lists it as uncharacterized. Lineage: Eukaryota; Metazoa; Mollusca; Bivalvia; Myida; Myidae. The record is from RefSeq and is a predicted model, not a curated record. The transcript has 2 exons.